Molecule: non-coding RNA, 799 nt
Organism: Oreochromis niloticus (Nile tilapia)
Lineage: Eukaryota; Metazoa; Chordata; Actinopteri; Cichliformes; Cichlidae
Source: the annotation of a RefSeq genome assembly
GCUCCCCACAAAGCAGUGACACGCCCACCUGAAACUCUUGAUAUCAACAUAAAUUCAAACUGUCAUUUAUUCAUGUGUUCCUGUCGUCUACAACAUGGACAUUUUCACAUAUGGUCACCUCAGCUUUUUGAUAUUUCUGCUUUGGAUCAAAGGUCUAAUUGAUGCCAAGGAUGUCACACAAACUCCCAUGCUGUGGGAACGACAGGGUAAUAAUGCAACAAUGGACUGCAGCCAUACCAAGGAUGCUACCUAUAUCCAGAUGUACUGGUACAGACAGCUGCCAGGAGAAAAUAUGGAACUGAUUGUGUUCACGACAACAGCCAAAAAAUACGAUCACGACUUUGGAAAAUUCAGCAAAGAGAAAUACUCAGCCACAAAGACUGAGGCUCGCGAUGGGACAUUUACAGUGAAGCACCUGGAGCCAAAAGACAGCGGCUGGUAUUUCUGUGCCGUCAGUAAGCACAGUGAUACAGACUCAUGUGAAAGCUGAACAAAAACCUCACUGAAUGGUUGGCACAAGUGUUGCAAUUAUUUCCUGUACUGUAGGGGGACCUCAAGUACAACUGCAGAUCAGAAUCGUAUGAAGCUCUUCAACUUCCCAACUCCCAUCUCACACACACUAACAGAGACUCUGGUCUCUUAAGUUUAAGAUCCCCAGAACACAAUAAAAUAAAAAUGUUCUUCACUGGAAGUGCUGAUCUGUACUACUCACUUACAGUCAAACUGCUGAAUGCAUGCUUAUUAUUCCAUCUUCAUUCAAAGGAAGCUUGAUAGUUUUUAACCUGCACAGAUUUAAAAA